AUUUCUUAGCUUCCUUUAAAGCAUGUAUCAUGUUAUAUGUGGUAAAUAUUAAUCAAAUUAACUAUCUGUUACAUGCAGCAUAACUAGGUCUUAGCAAUACUUUAUAUAUGUAAGUGUAUUGCAGGUAAUCUUAGACAGCAUUCCCACGAGGAUGUUAUCUAACUUAUUGUGUAGGUAAACCUAAUGUGUACAUCUACUUCUUUAAACUAAUGCGCCAAACUUUGCAUGUAUGAAUGAAUGUAUGUAUGAUGGGAUGGCUUAUUAGAACAGAUAUUUUAUGUACAGUAGAUUGAUAAUGUACAGAUGUAGAAUGUUAUAUAUUAUUGGAUUUGUAUAUGUUUAUGUUCAGGUGUGGCAAACAUAGUUCCUGACGUUUGUGACGGUAACGGGCACAGUGCCAUACACUCGGGCCUUCUUCAGUUAUUGCCAUUAAACUGACAUCUAC
Long non-coding RNA from Haliotis rubra (blacklip abalone), 445 nucleotides. RefSeq lists it as uncharacterized. The transcript has 2 exons. NCBI's taxonomy places the organism in Eukaryota, Metazoa, Mollusca, Gastropoda, Lepetellida, Haliotidae. The record is from RefSeq and is a predicted model, not a curated record.